RNAcentral lists this signal recognition particle RNA (240 nucleotides) under Nitrospirae bacterium RIFCSPLOW2_12_42_9. RNAcentral's name for it is "signal recognition particle sRNA large type". It matches the Rfam family "Bacterial large signal recognition particle RNA". Rfam says of the family: The signal recognition particle (SRP) is a universally conserved ribonucleoprotein involved in the co-translational targeting of proteins to membranes. Archaeal SRP consists of a 7S RNA and homologues of the eukaryotic SRP19 and SRP54 proteins. In most bacteria, the SRP consists of a 4.5S RNA and the Ffh protein (a homologue of the eukaryotic SRP54 protein). Lineage: Bacteria; Pseudomonadati; Nitrospirota. The record is from RNAcentral.
CGGUUGAAGGGGCGUGCCUGGAGAGCACGUGUACUGGCAACGGUACCGUGGGUUCGAAUCCCACCCUCUCCGCCAUUUUUUUGUCUCCUGUCCGCAGUUGAGCAUGGGGCCGGGACCUGCGCAACAUGGGCUUACAAACCCCGCCAGGUCCGGAAGGAAGCAGCGGUAAGUAAUCCCCCGUGUGUGCCGUAGAUUCACCUUGUCCUGUCUCAACUGCGCAGAGGAGAUAAGCAGCAACAG